UUGUAUUGAAGGACCUACAUGCAGAACAGGAGUGCUCCGAGAGCAAAAUAUCCCCCACUGGCAAAUGCUGCUUUGGUACAAGUGCUUGCCACAUUUUGAUAACAGUUCAAGGAAUUGCACCAAGUUUCCCAAAAUUCAUCCUAAAAAUGUGACAGAUGAUUUCAGAAUGCAGGCACCAACUCAUGCAACUGGCAGUGUCUAGAUCUGUUAUUCAAGGUGGGCCAUAAUUCAGGUAAAAUAAGCCCAACUGGAACAAUAUGAAAAUAUGCAUAUUACGAACCUAUAACAAGGACUUGUACCAAGUUUCUCUAAAAUUCUU
Long non-coding RNA from Thalassophryne amazonica, 319 nucleotides. RefSeq lists it as uncharacterized. The transcript is spliced from 3 exons. NCBI's taxonomy places the organism in Eukaryota, Metazoa, Chordata, Actinopteri, Batrachoidiformes, Batrachoididae. The record is from RefSeq and is a predicted model, not a curated record.